RNAcentral lists this ribosomal RNA (468 nucleotides) under uncultured bacterium. RNAcentral's name for it is "partial 16S ribosomal RNA". It matches the Rfam family "Bacterial small subunit ribosomal RNA", at positions 28 to 523 of the family's 1533-position model. The record is from RNAcentral.
GAUGAACGUUGGCGGCGUGCCUAACACAUGCAAGUCGAGCGAUUCUCUUCGGAGAAGAGCGGCGGACGGGUGAGUAACGCGUGGGUAACCUGCCCUGUACACACGGAUAACAUACCGAAAGGUAUGCUAAUACGGGAUGACAUAAGAAAUUCGCAUGUUUUUCUUAUCAAAGCUCCGGCGGUACAGGAUGGACCCGCGUCUGAUUAGCUAGUUGGUGAGGUAAUGGCUCACCAAGGCGACGAUCAGUAGCCGACCUGAGAGGGUGAUCGGCCACAUUGGAACUGAGACACGGUCCAAACUCCUACGGGAGGCAGCAGUGGGGAAUAUUGCACAAUGGGCGAAAGCCUGAUGCAGCAACGCCGCGUGAGCGAUGAAGGCCUUCGGGUCGUAAAGCUCUGUCCUCAAGGAAGAUAAUGACGGUACUUGAGGAGGAAGCCCCGGCUAACUACGUGCCAGCAGCCGCGGUAA